AAAGAGCUUUUUGAAGAGAGAGAUAAAGAGGUCGUACCGAAGAUGAGGAAGCGGAAGAUAGCACCAGUUUUUGUCUCUUGUAUUCCUCCACUCGCAAGAAGCGCUCGUGCAGCUGGCGCCCCCAGCUGGCGACAGUUGGGCGUAUCAUGCACGUCGGGAGUAGUUCUUCAGCAGGUGGUGUCCGGCGAGCUUCUGGCCGCAGCAGUAAGCCCCCUUUUUGGACGGCAGCUUGGUGCUCCCCGUCGGGGGAGGGGUUUUUUUUUUUUUUUCUAAAAAGGGCAUGGCUUACGGGCCCGUUUAUGGCCGAGCUGUGGGUCGGCGGCGGUCGCUUGCGACACGUGCUGUGCCAGCAGUUCGGUCCUGGUCGAGCUCCCCCAUUGCCUAUUCUCGGUGUAAGAGCUGGUCAUCUCUCCGACCCGUCUUGAAACACGGACCAAGGAGUUUAUCGUGUGCGCGAGUCAUUGGGCGUUGAAAACCCAAAGGCGCAAUGAAAGUGAAGUGCCACGCAAGUGGCUGAUGUGCGAUGUUGUGUUCCACGGAACACGACCGCAGCAUGGCCCCAUCCUGGCUGCUUGCAGCGGGGUGGAGGAAGAGCGUGCGCGAUGAGACCCGAAAGAUGGUGAACUAUUCCUGAGCAGGAUGAAGCCAGAGGAAACUCUGGUGGAAGUCCGAAGCGAUUCUGACGUGCAAAUCGAUCGUC
Molecule: ribosomal RNA, 700 nt
Filed under: Pratylenchus zeae
Lineage: Eukaryota; Metazoa; Nematoda; Chromadorea; Rhabditida; Pratylenchidae
Description: partial large subunit ribosomal RNA
Rfam family: Eukaryotic large subunit ribosomal RNA
Source: RNAcentral